GGAGAGUGUUGUAUCUUCAGUGACAUCAUUCCACCUAUUAAGAAGGAUAAUUGGAGCUUCUAGGGAUAAUCAGCUUCUGAAAGAAGUUUAAAGUGGGAAUUAUGCUUUGCCAAGGAACCUCUCCUCUUGAAAGAGCUGCCUACCAGGACUCCUGCCCACUGAAAAGAGACCUUCUUCCCAGUCAUUUCUCUUCCAGGACCUUAUGACUAAGAACUUUGCCUUCCUAGCAGAGCUUCUCAAUGCCAACAGAAUAAACUUCCCUUUUGCCAUUCAAA
Long non-coding RNA from Antechinus flavipes (yellow-footed antechinus), 275 nucleotides. RefSeq lists it as uncharacterized. The record is from RefSeq and is a predicted model, not a curated record. The transcript is spliced from 2 exons. Lineage: Eukaryota; Metazoa; Chordata; Mammalia; Dasyuromorphia; Dasyuridae.